This 585-nucleotide small RNA is filed under the name Pan troglodytes (chimpanzee). RNAcentral describes it as "processed transcript". Lineage: Eukaryota; Metazoa; Chordata; Mammalia; Primates; Hominidae. The record is from RNAcentral.
ACAAAGACAGAGACAUUGAAAAAGAGACAGACCAAGGAAGAAACACAAAGACAGAAAUUUCACGGGCAGAAGAUGUAGCCCGGCCAUUCUCUGUGAUCUAAGUAGCUUGAAGUAACAACCUAUAAUCAUGCUAAAAAGAGAAGAAUCUGUAAGAAUCAAGAAGGAAGCUGAAGAAGCUGAACUCCAAAAAAUGAAGGCAAUUCAGAGAGAGAAGAGCAAUAAACUGGAGGAGAAAAAAAGACUUCAAGAAAACCUUAGAAGAGAAGCAUUUAGAGAGCAUCAGCAAUACAAAACCGCUGAGUUCUUGAGCAAACUGAACACAGAAUCGCCAGAAGCUGGGCUUACAGAGAUUCUCUAAAGGCAGAAGAAAACAGAAAAUUGCAAAAGAUGAAGGAUGAACAACAUCAAAAGAGUGAAUUACUGGAACUUAAACGGCAGCAGCAAGAGCAAGAAAGAGCCAAAAUCCACCAGACUGAACACAGGAGGGUAAAUAAUGCUUUUCUGGACCGACUCCAAGGCAAAAGUCAACCAGGUGGCCUCGAGCAAUCUGGAGGCUGUUGGAAUAUGAAUAGCGGUAACAGCUGG